RNAcentral lists this small nuclear RNA (110 nucleotides) under Schistosoma margrebowiei. Lineage: Eukaryota; Metazoa; Platyhelminthes; Trematoda; Strigeidida; Schistosomatidae. The record is from RNAcentral.
GUCCUUUUCAUUUCGGCGGUACAUAUACUAAAAUUAAAACAAUACAUAGAAGAUUAGCAUGGCUCCUGUGCAAGGAUAACACGUAAAAUCAUGUAGUGUUCCACAUUUUC